This 490-nucleotide ribosomal RNA is filed under the name uncultured bacterium. Its description in RNAcentral is "bacterial SSU rRNA". It matches the Rfam family "Bacterial small subunit ribosomal RNA", at positions 31 to 509 of the family's 1533-position model. The record is from RNAcentral.
GAACGCUGGCGGCGUGCCUAACACAUGCAAGUCGAACGAAGCGUCCGCCCCGAAGAAGAGGAGUGCUUUGCACAAAUUUGAUUCAAUUGGGAUGACUUAGUGGCGGACGGGUGAGUAACGCGUGGGGUAACCUGCCUUAUACAGGGGGAUAACAGUUAGAAAUGACUGCUAAUACCGCAUAAGCGCACAGUAUCGCAUGAUACAGUGUGAAAAGCCGAGACGGUAUAAGAUGGACCCGCGUCUGAUUAGCCAGUUGGCAGGGUAACGGCCUACCAAAGCGACGAUCAGUAGCCGGCCUGAGAGGGUGAACGGCCACAUUGGGACUGAGACACGGCCCAAACUCCUACGGGAGGCAGCAGUGGGGAUAUUGCACAAUGGGGAAACCCUGAUGCAGCGACGCCGCGUGAGUGAUGAAGUAUUCGGUAUGUAAACUCUAUCAGCAGGGAAGAAAUGACGGUACCUGACUAAGAAGCUCCGGCUAAUACGUGCC